UGGGAGCAGCAAGAGAACCGU
Molecule: microRNA, 21 nt
Filed under: Mus musculus (house mouse)
Lineage: Eukaryota; Metazoa; Chordata; Mammalia; Rodentia; Muridae
Description: mmu-miR-451b
Gene: mmu-miR-451b
Source: miRBase by way of RNAcentral